GUCUGAGACCCUGGGGUUGAGGGGUGGCAGGGCCUGAGCCGAGAGCACAGCCCGUCCAACCGCCACUGGGGUUUCCUGACCCAGAGCAGAGAAAACUGUGGCCCUCGGCCUCGGCCCCUGGGCCCCCUCUCCUCCGAGCUUGCUCUGCCUGGCUCCCUCCGCACUAACAACCAUCUCCUUGCUAAGGGAACGGGCAGCCUGGGGUGGUAGGUACAAGUGGCUGGCACCAUCCCGCUGCCCCAGAGGGCCAGAGGCAGAAGGAGGGGCCGCAGCCAGGAGGAUCCCGAAAAUGUGCAGGGCAGCUGGUCUCUAAAACAUCCCCUUCAGCUGAAUAAAGUCCAUGUCCAGCCCAUGACUAGGGCCCGAGGUGAGCUGGACCCACCUGCUCUCCACUGCCACCUCCACCCUGGCACUCUGGGUCACCCUGCUCCCCACACUGACCUUCCUCCAGUUCCUCAGGGUUGGGAGGCUCGGCUCCCUAAUUUGGAAAGACUUUCCUCCAAAUUUCUGUGCUCUCUACACCUGAGCUGCCCGGGACGGUAGCCACCACCACCUGCGACCAUGCCCCUCCACAUCCUUUAGAAUUAAACGCUCAGCCCCUCAGGCGUACUGGGCACUAGCCACGUGUGGCUGGUGGCUCCCAGGCUGGACACGCAGGUGUGGGCCUGCCCACGGGGGCAUUGGGCUCCAGUGGACAGUGAUGCCUAGAGCCACACCUUCAGGGAGUGUCCCCGUACCCUGCCCUCCCACACUUGUCCUUGCAAAUUCUGAUCACCAUCCAGCGAUGAUCUCUGAUCGUGAUCAGCUCUGUCUCCCCAACAGCUCACCCUCCAGUGGGGUAGGAGCCCCAACCUGUUGUGAGCACCGCUGUGGCCCUGAGCCCCGAGCCCAGCAGCAGCCUGGCCAACAGUUUUUGGGACGAAUGAAUGAAUGAAUGAGAAAGAAUGUGAUGAAUGAAUGAAUGAGGAAGAAAGUGAUGAAUCGGUGAAUGAAUGAAUGAGAAAGACCUGAAUGUCUGAAUGAGGAAGAACGUGGUGAAUGGAUGAGGGAAUGAACGAAUGAGGAAGAAGUGAUGCGUGAAUGAAUGCGGAAGCAGGGUGCUCCGGGCAGCACUGAACUCCCCACCCAGUUCCUGACCGUGGGCUAUUCCCAUGGAUGGUGUUUCUGCACCCUAAAAGGGAGGAGCUAGCUCAAGGGCGGGGUUUGAGGGGUCCCAAAACAGGAGGAGGCAGGUGCCCUUGGGAGGGAUACUGCCCCGGAGCAGUCACUACAAAUGAGCCAAGCAAUUCGCUUCCAGGAGUCCGUGGGCUCAGUCCUCUGGGCCUCCUAUGGGGACAGUGAAUAUUUUUUUUUUCUUUCCUGAGGGAUUCUGCCAAGAGCGAGCAGCGAGUGGCCGGCCAGGACUCCCGUCAUCCCCUGGACAUGGCUUGGGAAGGCUGAGCUAGGCUCUGGGCACUGGCAGCCUCAGGGCACCUCCCAGCAUCCUGAGUCUGCACACUCAGCUCCACGCAGACACUCAGGGACCCAGGGCGGUGGGGAGCCUCCAUGUUCAUAUGCCGUCUGUUCACGGUGUCGAGAAAGACACUGGGCCAUUCACCGCCUCUGCCUGGAAGUGACAUGUGUCACUUCUGCUCACAUUUCACUGUCCCAUGGCCUCACCAACCUGCAAGGAACCAGGAAAAGCAGGAGAGCAGUGGACCUGUCUGUUGCAAACCUGGCCGCCCCACCUGCGUGAGCCUGGCUCACAGUCAUCGACUCAGGACCCGAUGCUCCGAGGUGGUGGGUAUGCGCGGGGCUGGUGUCUUCCGCUCAGGAGCUUCAAACGCGAAGCGUUUGAUCUAAGUCAUCAGGAUGGAGCUACAGCUGCCCCCUGGUCCCUGGGCUGAAGGGGACACACACGGAAAGGAACGCGAGCUGGGAGGCGCUGGCCGCCUGGCCCUGGAGUCCGAGGCCUGCUGGGGUGGAGCCCUGCCCACUCCGGGCAUCCGUGCCAAAGACAUGCCUGGAGCUUUCCAAAAGGGAAUUCGACCUAAAAAUGGAAACCAGCCUCCUUCUGCCCCACGCCCCCGCCUGCCUGCCCAGACUCCCAGGAGAGGGGCCGCCGGAAAAUCAGUCGGCGGGGGCUUGGACACCCACGCUGCGCUUGCGGUUCUCACAGCGGCCAGGAGAGAAUCGCUUUGAAUCGACGUGAGCUGCCUUGCGCCGGAAGUUACGCGUUCCCCAGGGAGGAUCGCGGACAAGGAUCGACUGUAGAGGCUUUGCUGACGAAUCCUUCGCUGAGGAGCUCCCUGCAGCCACGUCCCCACGUCAAAGGACCUGACUCAGGGAAGACGCACCAGCAGUUUCAGGAACCAUGGAAACCCCGAGGAGCCUGAAAGCCUUAAAUGACAGGUGCUCAGAAAGCACUUAGUGUCGUGCCUGCCCAGGCAAGCCCUCGGGGAAGACGGCCACUGAUGAGGACAAUGAUGAUGAUAAGGAAGAAAUUUGGUUCCACCACUUCAGACUCCAGCCUCUCACCAGUCUUUCUAACAAUCACAUAUUUUCCAGAUUCUCUACAGUGAGCACAUAUUCCCUCCAUAAUCUGAAAAAGAACAAGGAUUCCAGCACUCGUCCUCUCAUUCCUAAAGCCAAGGGAGAGAAACUCUGAUGCACCUAGAGGCUGGCCUGUCCUGGCCCUUGGGGUGGAACAGAGGAGCCUCUUUCUUCUCUGGCUCGGGCUGGCGGCUGCCGUGACAUCAUCCCUGCGGCGUGUAAUUCGAGAAGCAUGUUAGGAAGUGUUGGCUGAUUGACCAAGCGUGCUGGUGUCCUCUCCCAGGAGGCCAACAGGCCCAUUCUAACGGGCAGCUGGUUGUGUCUCUCACCGGCGAUUAGGGCUGGGAGCCGCAUCUUCACUCCAUGGGGCAGACCCGGGCGGGAAGAGUGUGGAAGGGAUCAAGUUUCAGAGGAGAACACCAGGCGAGCACUCAAGUUGUGGGUCUCCCAGCUGGAACGUCCCUGGACAUUUUCUGGGGAGACCCCACAUGUCUGGAUGACACUUGGCAAAAGCGUCCUUUGUUGUCUCGGAAGUGCUGGGACGCUGCGUGGGG
Long non-coding RNA from Equus asinus (donkey), 3086 nucleotides. Lineage: Eukaryota; Metazoa; Chordata; Mammalia; Perissodactyla; Equidae. The record is from Ensembl.